UGACUUGUUCUUGAAGGAAGCAAGGAUGCCUCCUGCCUACAUUUGGGUCUUGGAUUGACUCACUACAUCACAGGACUGCUGGGCUCCAGGAUGCGAAGAUCCAGCCACAACUGGCACCAGAGAACAAGAGAAGCUUCCUUUCCAUCUCUGGUGGCCUGCUCACCAAAGACCCUCUGGUCCCGUCAACUUGGUGUUAACUCUUGGGUGUAAAUGCCUUUGAGAAAAUACCCACUGCACCUCCUACAGUGAAUCCCACUGCUCACACAGGGUUUGUAUGAAGUCUGCCCUUUAUGGGCCAUCUACACAUCUCCUGUAUAAGAUACAGAAGAGACUUCCGGAAGUGCUUCCUCCCUUCUUUCUCUGGAGCUCCAGCUGCAGGACCACCGUGAGGAAGCUGUCACCGCCGCUAAGGCUGGCUGCCCUCUCUGGGAGUUGCACUUCCUUCCUCCGGUCCCUAAUCUGAGGACUGCUGGAUUGCAGACUUGGACCCUACCAAGCCGGUGGCGGCGAGGACGCAAACACCAUUGAGGGGGCUUCCGUGGGUCCGCGGUCUCGCGCUCCGCCGUGCAGAACGAACUGUUAGUGGGCGCUACUGAUCGCGCCGCGCUCGCGGCCUCGCCCCAUUCACACGGCCCCGCGUAAUGAAUUCGUCCAUUUAAAUACAUUACAGGAAUAUUGGAGAUUGCGGAGGACGUGACACUUGACCCUGCAACCCGAACCCCGCAGGGGCAGCCGCCGCCUUGCAAAGUAGCAGUCCCCGAGCAGCGCCGCGCGGCGGUGGCCGGCCAAGCCCUCCGGGAGCUCUCCGGGUCCCCUUCCUCGCCCCCACCCCCGCCUUGCUCGCAGCUUGCCUCUGUCGACCCCUUCCCGCAGCCGCGUUUCAAUCAAACUCACUGAGACGGCACCGAGCGGGCGCCGGGGACAAGAAACGCCUCGCCAGCGACAACGCGCGAACAAGCGGAGCCGCGGGCCCCGGCGCCUCCGCCCACACGCGCCCCGCGUGCUGAAACCCGCACCUGGCCCACGGGUAGCCGGAAAAGCCGGGUCCCGGCCCGCCCGCCGGGCCGCCCCUGCUCCCGCUCCCCCAGCUCCAAGCGCUGCGGCUCAGAAACCCACCCGCCCGGCCCAGCCCCCGCCGGAGCCCUGCACCUUGGGGAGCCGGAGGCUGGGGAGGGGACCAGAGAAGGGGAAGAAGGGGCAUCGCCCUUCUUCCUACCCUGGGACAGCGCCUGGACUGGAGCUGGGUGCCGAGGAAACGACGGGAAGAGCUGACAGAGAGGCGGAGGGAGAAAAGAAAGGAAAAGAGGCAGAGACGAGGAAGGGAAGAAAGGGAUCCGAAGUGACCCGCCCUCGGGCCUCCGCGCCGGUGAUGCCCCGCGCCCAGGGCGAGGCCGUGCUUCGCGGGCAUGAGAAGCCAGGAGGCAGCGGAGUGCGGGUCUGGGGCACCGGGGACAUUGCCAAACAUAAUUGGGGUGCCAAACUGGGCUUCUUAAUCUCGAAGCCAGGAUGGGCGGGUGUGGCCGGGGGUGCGCGGGGUCAGCCAGCUUGGGGUGCUUUCCUUCGGGGCUCACACCGGCAGCGCGGACCGGCCGAGGCCGCUGGGACUGCAAGUCCGCCGCCUGCUUUUGUUCUGGGUUCUGCUGUAAUUUAACAUAAAACGCCUGUUAGAAUCACUGCUGCCGAAACACGCGUUUCUCCUUGUUUUGCCACCAACUAACAGGAUUAGGCAACAAGAGCGAGAUUUCAAAUUAACCAUAAAAAUGACAAAUUGCAAUUCAUUUAGCUGCCCACUUACUACAUUAAAAAACAUAAAUAAAUGAAUCUGCGUAUUCAGAGGGUUGAACGGCCCGCAAGGAAGCGAAAGCGGUUGAACUCAGGCCUCCGGGUGGGAGUCAGGGCUGUGGCGCUGGCGAGAGCGGGCCGCCGCGGAAUUCGCACCGUCUUCCAAGGGCCCGGAAAGAGGC
Molecule: long non-coding RNA, 1964 nt
Filed under: Homo sapiens (human)
Lineage: Eukaryota; Metazoa; Chordata; Mammalia; Primates; Hominidae
Description: HSALNT0131282
Source: RNAcentral